This 252-nucleotide ribosomal RNA is filed under the name Triticum aestivum (bread wheat). RNAcentral's name for it is "partial small subunit ribosomal RNA". Lineage: Eukaryota; Viridiplantae; Streptophyta; Magnoliopsida; Poales; Poaceae. The record is from RNAcentral.
AUGAGCUUCGCUCAGGAGCAUAGCUCAUACCAAAACAAUUACUCACAUGGGUGGCCUGAAAACCCAAAUAUGUCAUAUAGGAGCAACAACCCUGAGAUCUCACUGUUUGCCUCUAGUUAUCCAAUACAGGGAGUUAGGUAUGAAGAGGAGAGCAACAACUAUGCACCACAACAAUUUUAUUCACCUCCUACUCAUAUACCUCAACACCAGGAGAUGUGUCCAAUGGAGUUAAAUGGUCCUCCACUUGGUUAA